RNAcentral lists this long non-coding RNA (1207 nucleotides) under Phascolarctos cinereus (koala). Its description in RNAcentral is "lncRNA (ENSPCIG00000034271.1)". The record is from RNAcentral. Lineage: Eukaryota; Metazoa; Chordata; Mammalia; Diprotodontia; Phascolarctidae.
AUUAUAUAUUCUAAUUUAUGAACAACAUAUACAUUUGUACAUAGGUAAAUACACAUGUGUAUAUUCAUAUGUAAAUAUAUAUAUACAUAUAUGUAUAUAUAUACAUAUAUAUAUAUACACACACACAUAUAUAUAUAUGCGCACACAUACAUAUAUCCACACUUAUGUGUGUAUAAAGACAAGGUACUGCAACAGUUACAAUCUAAACACUGUGUUUUCAUCAUCUUUUUAGAAGAUGCUUUUUAGAAGCAAAGCCCACCUUCUUGGCUCCAAGCAGGCCAGGUAGCACAGUUCCACUGGGGCAGCUCCAAGGAAAACUUGCUAAAUAGUGAGAAAGAGAUUGUAGUGGAACCUUUCUGAGGACAUUGCUGUGGACUCUACAUGGACCUUGUGGCCUCCUUCUCAUUGACAUACAUAUUGUCUCCAUGCAGAACCAGCCGUAUCAUCCAGAAGAUUCUUCCUGUCAUGUCUGCAAUGGCAAACGAAUUUUCAAAUCAACAAGAUGCAAGAAAGUCUGUUAGGAAACGACAAAAAGGUCUAUGUCAGAUCCUAAUUGGAAGAAUCAGGCUUCUCUUUUCAUGUUUAUCUAGGAAUAACAGCGCAGUGGUGGAUCAGUCUCCUUUAGACCCAUCCCUGGAAGCAGUUUCCUCCCCAAAGCAUAAACAGCACUUCAAAGGGGCAGCUGACCCAGUCCAUACGUCUGACCAUGCAGAUCUGCUGGGGGAGGCCAAGAAGACUCUGCAGACAGAGGGAGAAGCUCAGGGCGAACUCAACCAAAGGGAGACUUUGCUGACAGAAGAUUUGGAUGAGAAAUUCAUGCAGCUGGAGAAGGAAAAAAGUCAACAGAUUCUGAUGAGUAUUGAGCAGAGCUUGUUGCAGAAUCCUCCAAUGGUUAGGCUGGAAGAAAAUGUGAUGAAACUUAAGAAAGAGCUCAGUGAAAUGGAAAUGGCAAAUCAAAUCAUGAAAACUCAGCUGAGGAAAGUCAUCCACAUCCAUGUAAGUUGAGAUAAGUGAGGUUUCUUCAGAAACUCAACCAGGGGUUUUGUUUGUCAGUAUUGUGGGAAGCUCCUCUAUUUCAUUUAAACAAACAGGUGCCCUUUUUGUUCUUCACUUAUGGGAAGUUCACUUAGGUCGCACGGAAAAAAAUUGUUUUUACACGUAAUUAGGGGAAAAUAAAAUAUUUAAAAAAGAUAUUUAAGUUUUGUUA